Molecule: ribosomal RNA, 465 nt
Filed under: uncultured bacterium
Lineage: Bacteria
Description: partial 16S ribosomal RNA
Rfam family: Bacterial small subunit ribosomal RNA
Source: RNAcentral
CCUACGGGGGGCAGCAGUGGGGAAUAUUGCGCAAUGGGCGAAAGCCUGACGCAGCGACGCCGCGUGAGGGAUGAAGGUCUUCGGAACGUAAACCUCUGUCAGCAGGGAAGAACGGUCAGUGUGCUAAUCAGCAGUGAAUUGACGGUACCUGCAAAGGAAGCACCGGCUAACUACGUGCCAGCAGCCGCGGUAAUACGGAGGGUGCGAGCGUUAAUCGGAAUUACUGGGCGGAAAGCGCGCGUAGGCGGGAUGGCAAGUCAAGGGUGAAAUCCCCGCGCUCAACGUGGGAACUGCCUUUGAAACUGGCAGACUGGAGUGUGUGAGAGGAUAGUGGAAUUCCAGGUGUAGGAGUGAAAUCCGUAGAUAUCUGGAGGAACAUCAGUGGCGAAGGCGACUAUCUGGCACAUAACUGACGCUGAGGAGCGAAAGCGUGGGUAGCAAACAGGAUUAGAUACCCCAGUAGUC